This 386-nucleotide unclassified non-coding RNA is filed under the name soil metagenome. RNAcentral describes it as "partial contains 5.8S ribosomal RNA, internal transcribed spacer 2, and large subunit ribosomal RNA". The stretch from base 1 to 120 matches the Rfam family "5.8S ribosomal RNA", at positions 35 to 154 of the family's 154-position model. The record is from RNAcentral.
GAUGAAGAACGCAGCGAAAUGCGAUAAGUAAUGUGAAUUGCAGAAUUCAGUGAAUCAUCGAAUCUUUGAACGCACCUUGCACCCUUUGGUAUUCCGAAGGGUAUGCUCGUUUGAGUGUCAUUGUACUCUCACACUUCUAAUUCCUUUCGGGAUUGGGAGCGGUGGACUUGGGUGUUGCUGCUUUAGUUGUGGCUCACCUCAAAUAAGUUAGUGCAACUCUUGGUUGGACAUAGUACGGCGUGAUAAGUGUCUUCGCCGGCGCCUCUGUAAGGAGGGUGGCCGAUCGGGAGCUCUGUGCUUCAAACCGUCUUCGGACAAUCUUUGACAACUUGACCUCAAAUCGAGUAGGACUACCCGCUGAACUUAAGCAUACAAUAAGCGGAGGA